AGAUUGAACGCUGGCGGCAGGCCUAACACAUGCAAGUCGAGCGGCAGCACGGGUACUUGUACCUGGUGGCGAGCGGCGGACGGGUGAGUAAUGCCUAGGAAUCUGCCUGGUAGUGGGGGAUAACGCUCGGAAACGGACGCUAAUACCGCAUACGUCCUACGGGAGAAAGCAGGGGACCUUCGGGCCUUGCGCUAUCAGAUGAGCCUAGGUCGGAUUAGCUAGUUGGUGAGGUAAUGGCUCACCAAGGCGACGAUCCGUAACUGGUCUGAGAGGAUGAUCAGUCACACUGGAACUGAGACACGGUCCAGACUCCUACGGGAGGCAGCAGUGGGAAUAUUGGACAAGUGGGCGAAAGCCUGAUCCAGCCAUGCCGCGUGUGUAGAAGAAGGUCUUCGGAUUGUAAAGCACUUUAAGUGGAGAAGGCAGUAAAUUAAUACUUUGCUUGUUUUGACGUUACCGACAGAAUAAGCACGGCUAACUCUGUG
RNAcentral lists this ribosomal RNA (485 nucleotides) under uncultured soil bacterium. RNAcentral's name for it is "bacterial SSU rRNA". It matches the Rfam family "Bacterial small subunit ribosomal RNA", at positions 26 to 507 of the family's 1533-position model. The record is from RNAcentral.